CUUUCUUUGCUGGCGACCGGCGCACGGGUGAGUAACACGUAUCCAACCUGCCCUUUACUCGGGGAUAGCCUUUCGAAAGAAAGAUUAAUACCCGAUAGCAUAAUGAUUCCGCAUGGUUUCAUUAUUAAAGGAUUCCGGUAAAGGAUGGGGAUGCGUUCCAUUAGGCAGUUGGUGGGGUAACGGCCCACCAAACCUUCGAUGGAUAGGGGUUCUGAGAGGAAGGUCCCCCACAUUGGAACUGAGACACGGUCCAA
RNAcentral lists this ribosomal RNA (254 nucleotides) under uncultured bacterium. Its description in RNAcentral is "partial 16S ribosomal RNA". It matches the Rfam family "Bacterial small subunit ribosomal RNA", at positions 79 to 334 of the family's 1533-position model. The record is from RNAcentral.